GAAAUGCGAUAAGUAAUGUGAAUUGCAGAAUUCAGUGAAUCAUCGAAUCUUUGAACGCACCUUGCGCUCCUUGGUAUUCCUUGGAGCAUGCCUGUUUGAGUAUCAUGAAAUCUUCAAAGUAAAUCUUUUGUUAUCUCAAUUGGUUUCUACUUUGGUAUUGGAGGUCUUUGCAGCUUCACACCUGCUCCUCUUUGUUCAUUAGCUGGAUCUCAGUGUUAUGCUUAGUUCCACUCGGCGUGAUAAGUUAUCUAUCGCUGAGGACACUGUAAAAGGUGGCCAAGGUAAAUGCAGAUGAACCGCUUCUAAUAGUCCAUUGACUUGGACAAUACUUUUAUGAUCUGAUCUCAAAUCAGGUAGGACUACCCGCUGAACUUAAGC
Molecule: unclassified non-coding RNA, 378 nt
Filed under: plant metagenome
Description: partial contains 5.8S ribosomal RNA, internal transcribed spacer 2, and large subunit ribosomal RNA
Rfam family: 5.8S ribosomal RNA (bases 1-105)
Source: RNAcentral